UUCAGAUUCUUCAUUAUAUUGGUUUGGAUCAUGUUGGACAUCUUGGUGGGCGCAAUAGUAUACUGAUGGCCCCCAAACUCGGAGAGAUGGAUGAAGUGAUCAAGACGAUCGAUCUAAAUUUUUUACCUACCAACAAUAAUGAUCAAGGACGGACACUCUUGUUGGUAGUAAGUGACCAUGGAAUGACUGAAACGGGAAAUCAUGGGAGGAUCAUCAUUUGAGGAAACCGACUCUUUGACACUUUUUAUUGGUCCUACAAAUUUUGGAAGUACAUCACUC
Molecule: long non-coding RNA, 279 nt
Organism: Solanum stenotomum
Lineage: Eukaryota; Viridiplantae; Streptophyta; Magnoliopsida; Solanales; Solanaceae
Exons: 3
Source: RefSeq, a predicted model, not a curated record